This 253-nucleotide ribosomal RNA is filed under the name uncultured bacterium. RNAcentral's name for it is "partial 16S ribosomal RNA". It matches the Rfam family "Bacterial small subunit ribosomal RNA", at positions 524 to 776 of the family's 1533-position model. The record is from RNAcentral.
UACGUAGGGUGCAAGCGUUAAUCGGAAUUACUGGGCGUAAAGCGUGCGCAGGCGGUUAUGCAAGACAGAUGUGAAAUCCCCGGGCUCAACCUGGGAACUGCAUUUGUGACUGUAUAGCUAGAGUACGGCAGAGGGGGAUGGAAUUCCGCGUGUAGCAGUGAAAUGCGUAGAUAUGCGGAGGAACACCGAUGGCGAAGGCAAUCCCCUGGGCCUGUACUGACGCUCAUGCACGAAAGCGUGGGGAGCAAACAGG